UACAGAGGGUGCGAGCGUUAAUCGGAAUUACUGGGCGUAAAGGGCGCGUAGGUGGUUUAUCAAGAUGGUUGUGAAAUACCUGGGCUUAACCUGGGAAUGGCAAUCAAGACUGAAAGACUAGAGUGCGGUAGAGGGUAGUGGAAUUUCCGGUGUAGCGGUGAAAUGCGUAGAGAUCGGAAGGAACACCAGUGGCGAAGGCGACUACCUGGACUGACACUGACACUGAGGCGCGAAAGCGUGGGGAGCGAACAGG
RNAcentral lists this ribosomal RNA (253 nucleotides) under uncultured bacterium. Its description in RNAcentral is "partial 16S ribosomal RNA". It matches the Rfam family "Bacterial small subunit ribosomal RNA", at positions 524 to 776 of the family's 1533-position model. The record is from RNAcentral.